AUUGAACGCUGGCGGAAUGCUUUACACAUGCAAGUCGAACGGCAGCACGGACUUCGGUCUGGUGGCGAGUGGCGAACGGGUGAGUAAUGUAUCGGAACGUGCCCAGUCGUGGGGGAUAACGUAGUGAAAAUUACGCUAAUACCGCAUACGAUCUAUGGAUGAAAGCGGGGGAUCGCAAGACCUCGCGCGAUUGGAGCGGCCGAUAUCAGAUUAGGUAGUUGGUGGGGUAAAGGCCCACCAAGCCAACGAUCUGUAGCUGGUCUGAGAGGACGACAGGCCACACUGGACCUGGGACUCGGUCCAGACUCCUACGGGAGGCAGCAGUGGGGAAUUUUGGAAAAUGGGCGAAAGCCUGAUCCAGCCAUGCCGCGUGCAGGAUGAAGGCCCUCGGGUUGUAAACUGCUUUUGUACAGAACGAAAAGGUUUCUACUAAUACUAGGAGCUCAUGACGGGACUGUAAGAAUAAGCACCGGCUAACUACGUGCCAGCAGCCGCGGUAA
RNAcentral lists this ribosomal RNA (500 nucleotides) under uncultured bacterium. RNAcentral's name for it is "partial 16S ribosomal RNA". It matches the Rfam family "Bacterial small subunit ribosomal RNA", at positions 30 to 523 of the family's 1533-position model. The record is from RNAcentral.